Molecule: long non-coding RNA, 505 nt
Organism: Oreochromis aureus
Lineage: Eukaryota; Metazoa; Chordata; Actinopteri; Cichliformes; Cichlidae
Exons: 3
Source: RefSeq, a predicted model, not a curated record
CGGGGACGGGUCCAAAUGUCUGCUACCAUUGACAGGAAUGUUUGCACUCCAGGUGAAACUAUAUCUGUUAUGGCCAAAAUCUGCAACUCAUCUUCUGAGAACAUGAGGCCCAAAUUCAAACUUAAACAAAAAACAGUGUACCGCAGCAAGUACCACACAAAGAAGUCACUGUUAAUUCUACUAAAGAGGUCGGAGGCACUAUCAGGCCAUACUCAGAGCAAACUGUCUCCUACCAGUUGAAGAUUCCUGAUGAUGUCAUCUUCUCUAUUCAUAACUGUGAAAUCAUCUCAGUUGAAUAUUACAUAAAGGUGUAUCUGGACAUUAGCUUUGCCUUUGACCCGGAGGUGGUGCUUCCACUGGUCAUCGCUCCUUCCAGAUUUGCAGCCAUUCAGCCUGGUGAGGCUGAGGGGCCUUACCCACCUGGGACAACCGAGGCCACAAGUUAUAGUAACUUGGCUCCCCCUGGCUUCCACACUGGAUUAGAUCCUGAACCCACAGAGCCAGG